This 434-nucleotide ribosomal RNA is filed under the name uncultured bacterium. RNAcentral describes it as "partial 16S ribosomal RNA". It matches the Rfam family "Bacterial small subunit ribosomal RNA", at positions 29 to 507 of the family's 1533-position model. The record is from RNAcentral.
AGUGAACGCUGGCGGCAGGCCUAACACAUGCAAGUCGAACGAACCUUCCGGGGUUAGUGGCGGACGGGUGUGUAACACGUCGGAACGUGCCUUUAGGUUCGGAAUAACUCAGGGAAACUUGUGCUAAUACCGAAUGUGCCCUUCUGGGGCAAGAUAUAUCGCCGUUAGAGCGGCCCGCGUCGGAUUAGCUAGUUGGUUGAGGUAAAGGCUCACCAAGGCGACGUUCAGUAGCUGGUCAGAGAGCAUGAUCAGCCACAUUGGGAGUAGGACACAGCCGAAAAUCCUACGGGAAGGAGGAAUGGGGAAUCUAGCGAAACGGGGGAAGGGCUGACGCAGCCAGGCCGGGUGAAUGAUGAAGGUCGUAGGAUUGAAAAGUUCUUUCACCGGGGACGAUAAUGACGGUACCCAAAGAAGAAGCCCCGGCUAACUUCGUG